CUUCAAACAGUUUUUAUUAGAAGGAUGGUUGUGAAAAAUGAAGUCCUUAUGCACAAAGCCACCGCGUUUCACUGCGAUGUUCACCUGGCCUAUGAAGAUCUCCGGACACAAAACCAAGCAACAAAAUCAGGAUGCAACAAGAUGGAGGGGCAAAGCACAGAAGAGGAGUGGACCCUGCCAUAGGUGAGGGUUGACAUCCUCUUACACCUGCCGCUUCAUGCUUGAGCUCAGGAUGGUGACGAGUCCAAUCUUGUGCACGUCUUGUACACAGAAGAGCAGCAGCUGCAAGCUCAGGAACAAAACGGCCACAUCAUGCACAGAAGACAGGGCCCCAUGAUAGAUACUCCAUUUCUUCCUCAGACAUCCACUCUGAGAAAACAGUUGAGUUUCACUGGCCAUGAGAACCAUCUGGAUUCCGGUGAUAACUGGAUCCUCCUGUUCCCAAGGCUACCCAUCAAGUAGGUGUGUGGUGAGACCCAGGAUUUUGUACCGAUAACAGGUGCUUGGGGGCUGGGACUCUGCUGUGCAAUCCACUGAUGUAGGAUCCUUAAACAUCUUCCACUUAGAUAGGUCUUCUCUGUCUUCCCCAGUGUCUGUGUGCCAGAUGUUGCUGGGGCUGCUCAGUCCUGCAAAGCUCUGUCGCCAGCCUUCUAGUAGAAGAAAUGUGCAAGCUGGAAGUGUCUCUUAGUCUCUUCACUGAUAGCCAAUGGAAUGUCCAUUUGAGCCAAUUUGGGGGAGAGUUUUUUAGCAGAAAUGAGGUGAACACUAAACGGCAAAAUGGAUCACCU
RNAcentral lists this long non-coding RNA (788 nucleotides) under Mus caroli (Ryukyu mouse). Its description in RNAcentral is "lncRNA (MGP_CAROLIEiJ_G0005340.1)". The record is from RNAcentral. Lineage: Eukaryota; Metazoa; Chordata; Mammalia; Rodentia; Muridae.